AUUUGAAAUCUGGCCCCCAGGGCCCGAGUUGUAAUUUGUAGAGGAUGCUUCUGGCGAGGUGCCUUCCGAGUUCCCUGGAACGGGACGCCACAGAGGGUGAGAGCCCCGUAUGGUCGGACACCGAGCCUCUGUAAAGCUCCUUCGACGAGUCGAGUAGUUUGGGAAUGCUGCUCAAAAUGGGAGGUAUAUGUCUUCUAAAGCUAAAUACCGGCCAGAGACCGAUAGCGCACAAGUAGAGUGAUCGAAAGAUGAAAAGCACUUUGAAAAGAGGGUUAAAAAGUACGUGAAAUUGUUGAAAGGGAAGCGCCUAUGACCAGACUUGAGCCCGGUGAAUCAUCCAGCGUUCUCGCUGGUGCACUUUGCCGGGCACAGGCCAGCAUCAGUUCAGCGCGGGGGAGAAAGGCUUCGGGAAUGUGGCUCCCCCGGGAGUGUUAUAGCCCGCUGCGUAAUGCCCUGCGCUGGACUGAGGUACGCGCAUUGCAAGGAUGCUGGCGUAAUGGUCAUCAGCGACCCGUCUUGAAACACGGACCAAGGAGUCGUCUUCGUAUGCGAGUGUUCGGGUGUCAAACCCCUACGCGUAAUGAAAGUGAACGCAGGUGAGAGCUUCGGCGCAUCACCGACCGAUCCUGAUGUUCUCGGAUGGAUUUGAGUAGGAGCAUACGGGGCCGGACCCGAAAGAAGGUGAACUAUGCCUGUAUAGGGUGAAGCCAGAGGAAACUCUGGUGGAGGCUCGCAGCGGUUCUGACGUGCGAAUC
This 755-nucleotide ribosomal RNA is filed under the name Beauveria locustiphila. RNAcentral describes it as "LSU rRNA". It matches the Rfam family "Eukaryotic large subunit ribosomal RNA", at positions 113 to 899 of the family's 3401-position model. The record is from RNAcentral. Lineage: Eukaryota; Fungi; Ascomycota; Sordariomycetes; Hypocreales; Cordycipitaceae.